CUAGAUGAGGCAAGAGUGAGUGUUAUUACAAAAGUGGUCUUUAAAUAACACUCCCACUUGUCUAAUCUAA
Molecule: microRNA precursor, 70 nt
Organism: Ciona intestinalis (vase tunicate)
Lineage: Eukaryota; Metazoa; Chordata; Ascidiacea; Phlebobranchia; Cionidae
Source: Ensembl